AGCAGCAGCCGCGGUAAUACGUAUGUCACAAGCGUUAUCCGGAUUUAUUGGGCGUAAAGCGCGUCUAGGCGGUUAAUUAAGUCUGAUGUGAAAAUGCGGAGCUCAACUCCGUAUUGCGUUGGAAACUGGUUAACUAGAGUACUGGAGAGGUAAGCGGAACUACAAGUGUAGAGGUGGAAUUCGUAGAUAUUUGUAGGAAUGCCGAUGGGGAAGCCAGCUUACUGGACAGAUACUGACGCUAAAGCGCGAAAGCGUGGGUAGCAAACAGGAUUAGAUACCCGUGUAGUCCCUGUCUCUUAUACA
This 303-nucleotide ribosomal RNA is filed under the name uncultured bacterium. RNAcentral's name for it is "partial 16S ribosomal RNA". It matches the Rfam family "Bacterial small subunit ribosomal RNA", at positions 507 to 808 of the family's 1533-position model. The record is from RNAcentral.